This 344-nucleotide long non-coding RNA is filed under the name Gossypium barbadense (sea-island cotton). RNAcentral's name for it is "long non-coding RNA (GBAR_LNC003184)". The record is from RNAcentral. Lineage: Eukaryota; Viridiplantae; Streptophyta; Magnoliopsida; Malvales; Malvaceae.
CAGCAACAUCAAAUCAGCCGGAAAGCACUAAUCUCGAACCAUCAAGGGGCAAUCCUUACACACUUUGUCAACCAUAACACACAAGCCCAAGGGGUUUGACACUUUAAUCACAAGCUCAGUAGACUCAACAGGUAGAGUCUUGAUGAAUACUAAUGUCUCACACACGUAAGAAUGAGUAGAACCAGGAUCAAUUAAUGCAAUUACAUUAGUAUCAUAAAGAGUGAAUGUACCAGUAAUAACAUCAGGGGAUGAAGCCUCUUCUCGCGCGCGAAUGGCAUAGGCUCUAGCAGGAGGACGAGCCUUGGAUCUAACUACUGUAUCUUUAUUUCCUCUUUGACUUCUAC